This 623-nucleotide unclassified non-coding RNA is filed under the name Hevea brasiliensis (rubber tree). The record is from RNAcentral. Lineage: Eukaryota; Viridiplantae; Streptophyta; Magnoliopsida; Malpighiales; Euphorbiaceae.
UGGGACUUGUACUACAGCAGAUUGUUUCUGUGUUUGCUGAGGUUGAAGCAAUUGAAUGUUAGCCCUUGAGCAUGAUCGAGCUAUUUCGCCAGCUAAGGGAAUCACUGGCAAGUUGUCGCAGUUACAAAUCUCAACCAUGAAUCCAUCUGGAUCAUGGAAAAACAAUUGAUCUACAUAGAUUCCUCCUUCUUCAACCAGCUGCCUCGCGUACUUUAUCCCCAUUUCUGUUAGCUUCUUCUCCACCGCAUCUAUGCUCUCACACUGGAAAGAGAUGUGGUUAUCUUUGGGAUUGAUUUCAGUUUUCUUUGGCAUUUUCUCAGGAUCUUCCGAUUGAAGUAGAUGAAUCCCAAUUCCAUAGCUAAACAGCCAAGCGCCAUUAAAAUUGAAUGAUCCAGGCCUCCUUACAGGCACAAAACCAAGAACAUUCUUGUAAAAUUCAAUUGAUUUUUCAACUGAUCUGCAAACAAGGGAGAUAUGAUUCAGGGAUGUCAAAGCAAGUGGAUUUCCACUAUUCCCCUUCAUCUUUCGUUUUUUUUCUGCUCUAAACAACAAGCAAAUCGAAGAAUUAGCAAAUGAAUUAAGAGAUUUGAAAGAGGAUUAUCAAUAAUAAAGGAGAAAUUAGG